This is a long non-coding RNA of Amphimedon queenslandica, 410 nucleotides long. RefSeq lists it as uncharacterized. The transcript is spliced from 2 exons. The record is from RefSeq and is a predicted model, not a curated record. Lineage: Eukaryota; Metazoa; Porifera; Demospongiae; Haplosclerida; Niphatidae.
GUGGAGCUGGUUGCUGCGCUCGAGCGAUCAUAAUUACUGUUUAUACCGAUAGAUUAUAAGAUGUUCUUUUAUAGGACAAAAAGAGCAAGUCAAGAGAACACUUAAGCUACGUUAAAGAAUUAAUACAAAAGGACUAUCAGGCACCAUAGUAUCUAUGCAGGCACUUGACUAUAAGUGCAAGAUGAAGAUUGUUUACAUCACAUAUCUGAUAUCAUGAAUUGUGACAUUUUAAGCAUCAUUAUUUUAUUAUUAUUACUAUAUAAUGUUUUACAACACACAGGACAAGUGGAAGGGAGAGUAAGAUAUGAGACUUAGAGAGGGUUGAGUUUGUUCCACAGUCGGACAAUUCUAUUGAAAUAAAUGUAAAAACGAGUAUGAUGUUUAAGUAUAGUUGUGAAUCAGUUUAUGGA